UACGCAGGGGGCUAGCGUUGCUCGGAAUUACUGGGCGUAAAGCGCACGUAGGCGGGUUGUUAAGUCGGGGGUGAAAUCCUGGAGCUCAACUCCAGAACUGCCUUCGAAACUGACGAUCUUGAGUUCGGGAGAGGUGAGUGGAACUGCGAGUGUAGAGGUGAAAUUCGUAGAUAUUCGCAAGAACACCAGUGGCGAAGGCGGCUUACUGGUCCGGUUCUGACGCUGAGGCGCGAAAGCGUGGGGAGCAAACAGG
RNAcentral lists this ribosomal RNA (253 nucleotides) under uncultured bacterium. RNAcentral describes it as "partial 16S ribosomal RNA". It matches the Rfam family "Bacterial small subunit ribosomal RNA", at positions 524 to 776 of the family's 1533-position model. The record is from RNAcentral.